This is a long non-coding RNA of Alexandromys fortis (reed vole), 482 nucleotides long. RefSeq lists it as uncharacterized. NCBI's taxonomy places the organism in Eukaryota, Metazoa, Chordata, Mammalia, Rodentia, Cricetidae. The transcript has 3 exons. The record is from RefSeq and is a predicted model, not a curated record.
CCUGAAAUGACCCUAUCCUAUAGCAAUACUGACGAAUAUCUUGCAUAUCACCAUAGAACCUUCAUCUGGUGAUGGAUGGAGAUAGAGACAGAGACCCACACUGGAGCACUGGACUGAGCUCCCAAGGUCCCAAUGAGGAGCAGAUGGAGGGAGAACACGAGCAAGGAUGUCAGGACCACGAGGGGUGCACCCACCCACUGAGACAGUGGGGCUGAUCUAUUGGGAGCUCACCAAGGCCAGCUGGACUGUGACUGAAAAAGCAUGGGAUAAAACCGGACUCUCUGAUCAUGGCGAACAAUGAGGACUGAUGAGAAGCCAAGGACAAUGACAUGGGGUUUUGUUCCUACUUCGUGUUCUGGCUUUGUGGGAGCCUAGCCAGUUUGGAUGUUCACCUUCCUAGACCUGGAUGGAGGGGGGAAGACCCUGGACUUUCCACAGGGCAGGGAACCCUGACUGCUCUUCGAACUGGAGAGGGAGGGGGA